This 28-nucleotide non-coding RNA is filed under the name Rattus norvegicus (Norway rat). Lineage: Eukaryota; Metazoa; Chordata; Mammalia; Rodentia; Muridae. The record is from RNAcentral.
UGGGAUAGACAUGCUUGCUUUAGCUUUC